RNAcentral lists this ribosomal RNA (253 nucleotides) under uncultured bacterium. Its description in RNAcentral is "partial 16S ribosomal RNA". It matches the Rfam family "Bacterial small subunit ribosomal RNA", at positions 524 to 776 of the family's 1533-position model. The record is from RNAcentral.
UACAGGGGGUGCUAGCGUUGUUCGGAAUUACUGGGCGUAAAGGGCGCGUAGGCGGUUUGAUAAGUCAGAAGUGAAAGCCCGGAGCUUAACUCCGGAAUUGCUUUUGAAACUAUCAGGCUAGAGUACAGUAGAGGUAGGCGGAAUUCCUAGUGUAGAGGUGAAAUUCGUAGAUAUUAGGAAGAACACCAGUGGCGAAGGCGGCCUACUGGGCUGUAACUGACGCUAAGGCGCGAAAGCAUGGGUAGCAAACAGG